RNAcentral lists this ribosomal RNA (279 nucleotides) under uncultured bacterium. Its description in RNAcentral is "partial 16S ribosomal RNA". It matches the Rfam family "Bacterial small subunit ribosomal RNA", at positions 76 to 353 of the family's 1533-position model. The record is from RNAcentral.
CUUGCUAAGUUUGAUGGCGACCGGCGCACGGGUGAGUAACACGUAUCCAACCUGCCGAUGACUCGGGGAUAGCCUUUCGAAAGAAAGAUUAAUACCCGAUGGCAUAGUUCUUCCGCAUGGUGGAACUAUUAAAGAAUUUCGGUCAUCGAUGGGGGUGCGUUCCAUUAGGUUGUUGGCGGGGUAACGGCCCACCAAGCCUUCGAUGGAUAGGGGUUCUGAGAGGAAGGUCCCCCACAUUGGAACUGAGACACGGUCCAAACUCCUACGGGAGGCAGCAUG